RNAcentral lists this ribosomal RNA (440 nucleotides) under uncultured bacterium. RNAcentral describes it as "partial 16S ribosomal RNA". It matches the Rfam family "Bacterial small subunit ribosomal RNA", at positions 338 to 795 of the family's 1533-position model. The record is from RNAcentral.
CCUACGGGAGGCAGCAGUGGGGGAUAUUGCACAAUGGGGGAAACCCUGAUGCAGCGACGCCGCGUGUGGGAAGACGGUCCUCUGGAUUGUAAACUCCUGUCCGCAGGGACGAAAAGGACGGUACCUGGGGAGGAAGCUCCGGCUAACUACGUGCCAGCAGCCGCGGUAAUACGGAGGGAGCGAGCGUUGUCCGGAAUUACUGGGUGUAAAGGGAGCGUAGGCGGGGAUGCAAGUUGGGUGUUAAAACUACCGGCUCAACUGGUAGUCGCACUCAAAACUGCAGCUCUUGAGUGAAGUAGAGGCAGGCGGAAUUCCUAGUGUAGCGGUGAAAUGCGUAGAUAUUAGGAGGAACACCAGUGGCGAAGGCGGCCUGCUGGGCUUUAACUGACGCUGAGGCUCGAAAGUGUGGGGAGCAAACAGGAUUAGAUACCCCAGUAGUC